This is a long non-coding RNA of Numida meleagris (helmeted guineafowl), 1106 nucleotides long. The record is from Ensembl. NCBI's taxonomy places the organism in Eukaryota, Metazoa, Chordata, Aves, Galliformes, Numididae.
AUUAUUGUUAGCACUGUGUUAGGGCUGGUUUUGUAAUCAUAUGAUUAAAUUGAUGUCAGAUUUUUUUAGCCUACAUGAAGGCAGAAGUUGGUAAUUUUUAUCUUGAACACAAUAGAAGUCAGGCAUGUGGGUCUAAUUAAUGCUAUGUCCAUCUUGUUUACAGGUAUUUUUUUCUGAGAGCUGAUACAACUAUGCCAGAACCUUGCAUGGGAAAAUGAGGACUUCCUAAGGACUAAGGACUUUCCUAAAGAAAAGCACCAUCUAACAUUAGUGAUCCAACGUGGAGUUAUUCAGAGCUAUGGGUGUGCUUUUCAUGGACCACGAGAGGAGGUAAAGCAACCUGCUUUGAAGAGUGGAGAGGAAUGUUUUGCCUAGUUUGGAAAACUGGUGACAUGAAAGUUUCUUGUGACACAUUAAAACUUCAAGAAAAGAAGUGAUGGACAGCAGAUGAAAAACUCAGCUUGGGAAUUACUUUAUUUUGAAAAGUGGUGAGCUAGUCAAAAGUAAUUCUCUGUGCCUUAUUGCAUGAGUGCAUGAGCUCUCCAACUCUGUUUUAAUGCAAAAUUCAUCUAGCGUAACACUGUGAAAAUAUUAUGUACAAAUUAAACACAUCUAGACUCUGUUUUGUUUUCACUGUCUGAUGUUCCUUUAGUACUCCAUAGAGUAUAAGAAAAGCAAAAAAAAAUUCUGGCAAUUAGCCUUGUCUUACAAUUCCAAAAAGUUAAAAAUCCCCUUACUCGGAAACAUUUGUAAUAAUUUUAAUUGAAAGCAAUAGAUUGAUGUUUUUAUUUAACUGGCAAUAUUCAACAGCUACCAAGUAGACUGUGAGGUUGAUACUGUAUUGAUUGAUAUUGUAUUUAUAGAAUUGGAAAUAUAGUGAUUUUUUUCUUUAAUCUGGCACAUCAUAGAAUGCUUCUCAUUGCAAGCUACCUUUGAACAUCAUAUCAGUCCUGGAGGUUGCUCAGAAUUUUCCCUAGAGAAAUCAAAUAGAUCCAACUUUUAAUGGCAUUAAUUUAAUAAGGGGACAUUGAGCAAAACAACUUGUACGUAGAUGAUUAAACUAUGUUGCUGUGGAGAGAAAGUUUUGAGCAAUUGUUCUGUUAAUA